This 425-nucleotide ribosomal RNA is filed under the name uncultured rumen bacterium. RNAcentral describes it as "bacterial SSU rRNA". It matches the Rfam family "Bacterial small subunit ribosomal RNA", at positions 354 to 776 of the family's 1533-position model. The record is from RNAcentral.
GUGGGGAAUAUUGGUCAAUGGCCGGAAGGCUGAACCAGCCAAGUAGCGUGCAGGAUGACGGCCCUAUGGGUUGUAAACUGCUUUUGUACGGGAAUAACGGUAGCUACGUGUAGUUAUAUGCAUGUACCGUACGAAUAAGGAUCGGCUAACUCCGUGCCAGCAGCCGCGGUAAUACGGAGGAUCCGAGCGUUAUCCGGAUUUAUUGGGUUUAAAGGGAGCGUAGGCGGAGGAUCAAGUCAGCUGUGAAAUGUAGGCGCUCAACGCCUGCACUGCAGUUGAAACUGGUUCCCUUGAGUGCGUAAGAGGCAGGCGGAAUUCGUCGUGUAGCGGUGAAAUGCUUAGAUAUGACGAAGAACUCCGAUCGCGAAGGCAGCUUGCCGGGCCGCAACUGACGCUGAAGCUCGAAGGUGCGGGUAUCGAACAGG